Molecule: ribosomal RNA, 250 nt
Filed under: uncultured bacterium
Lineage: Bacteria
Description: partial 16S ribosomal RNA
Rfam family: Bacterial small subunit ribosomal RNA
Source: RNAcentral
UACAGAGGGUGCAAGCGUUAAUCGGAAUUACUGGGCGUAAAGCGCUCGUAGGCGGAUAUUUAAGUCGGAUGUGAAAUCCCCGGGCUCAACCUGGGAACUGCAUUCGAGACUGGAUAUCUAGAGUAUGGUAGAGGAAAGUGGAAUUCCCGGUGUAGCGGUGAAAUGCAUAGAUAUCGGGAGGAACACCAGUGGCGAAGGCGGCUUUCUGGACCAAUACUGACGCUGAGGAGCGAAAGCGUGGGGAGCAAAC